AAUCCCCUUGGGCUUUCUUUAGCUUUAAUUUACAUAAACACAGGGAUCAUAUGAAUAUUCAGUGAGUGGCUUUGCAUUAAGUAAGUGCCCUUAAUCAGCUUUUCAGUUCAGUUUUAUUGGUUGCACGCACAGUCAGUUAUUUCAUCCAGAAAAUCUGAAGCCCCUACAAACUAACCAGAGAAGGAGGAUCAUGUCACAGCAGAUCCCCCGGGUCUGUUUCGCAUCCUCCCAAGAAGGCAGCUUCCAUACUUGCAUCUCAGUCAGUGCCCACCCUCUGGCUCCCUUGGACCAGGUAAAGAUGCAGUGCUAAAUCCAGGCCAUGCAAGUCUGUUGUGUUCUCCUAUUGCUGUUGACCUGGCCAUGUCUGAUUAGAUGAUCUCACAGAUGAAUGAUCACUCAUGUGUGUUUACUCCUUCGCCAUUUUGUGGAGGAUUAGGGUGGGGUAGAACCAGCUGGAUUCAUGUCCAUAACUAAAAAAAAUCAGAUUCCACCUCCCUCUUACCAGCACAACUGGGGCCUGCACACCUUCCAAAUACCAUAGGCCCCUUUCCCGACUGUGAUGAGAAGUUACAAGAAAAGAACACAGAGAAUACCUUAAAACAGAAAAUGGGAGGUGAAGUAGAGUGAAGAAUUAAGGCAAAAGACAGGAUGGAGUCUGCUGAAUAGCUCUUCCCACUUGAAAUCUGGAGACAGAAUUAGGACAACCAAAAGAAGAGUGAAGAGAAGAAGUCUCAGGGCCUGGAGUCCAAUUGCAUGAUUUCUAAUCCUGGAUUUACCAGUCUAGGUAAAUUAGAACCAAUUACUAAACCUCAACUGAAUAAAUAGAGACAAUAGUAAUUCUGCUUUAGGUAGCCUUGAAGAUGAAAUGACAUAAUAUAUUUCUUCCUAAGAGACAGAGCCACCAGAGAAGAGUCUGCUCCCACAGUAAUGGCCAGGUUUUGCUCUGUUUCAAAGGUGACUUCAUGUCACAAGGCCACAAUAAAUCAAUCCACACACACUGUUGGGACCAAGGAGUGACUUUCAAGUCAAAUUCAUUGGUAGCCAUCGGCUGACGAGAAUUCUCAUCCUGAGGUUCAGGGACUCCUCCCACAACCAAGCCUUCAAAACCCUUAUGGUAUUAAUAGGAGUAUUAACUUUUAACUUACUUCCAAGGACAUUCAGAAUGUUAACAAAUGUGCCUGCCGUUAACUCAAAAGGCAAAUUAACUAUGUCACUACAUCCGGUACCAAAGUGUGGACCUAGUACAUGCGUAGAGCAGUCUGCCCCCCUGUCAUG
RNAcentral lists this long non-coding RNA (1275 nucleotides) under Heterocephalus glaber (naked mole-rat). RNAcentral describes it as "lncRNA (ENSHGLG00100037945.1)". The record is from RNAcentral. Lineage: Eukaryota; Metazoa; Chordata; Mammalia; Rodentia; Bathyergidae.